GAGUUAUGCACUGAGUUUAUGUUGCAGAAGUCUACCUGCAUUGUGAGGCAGGUACAAACAACUUAACCAUGGUUGGAUCACAGGUAGCUAACCGAGAACUGCGGUUACUGCUCACCACUGUCAGGAGAUAGACCCAGUUUGGUUAGAGGCUAUCUCCAUGGCAUCCUGUACUUUGAUAGUCCCAGAGUUCUGAGUGAUCACUAAAUAUCUUGGGUUACCCCAGCGGUAUAGGACCUUAUGCACUUAUAGCUUUUUGGUUAGCGGUUGAAGGAGUCUGCACCAUAGUUGUACGCAUCAGGUCCUGGAAGAACAUCAGAGAUCUGUUUUCAAAGAGGUAUGUGCUUUAUUCUGAACAGGAGAUAAAAAUGCCCUUUUAUACUGACCAUUCUGACGAUGAUAAUGCUGCUCACCUUAUCAGUAGCAUUAAUCGCC
This is a non-coding RNA of Pelobates cultripes (western spadefoot toad), 432 nucleotides long. Lineage: Eukaryota; Metazoa; Chordata; Amphibia; Anura; Pelobatidae. The record is from the annotation of a GenBank genome assembly.